GGAGGAGGAGAUUUGUAGAGGUAAGGAUGGUGUGGAGGAGAGUAGUGGUGGACUGGAGGAGGAGGAGGUGAUUUAUAUACGUACUUUUCCUUUGGUGGCGGUGGGGAAUGGUAAACUGGAGGAGGAGAAUAGUGCUUAACCGGAGGAGGAGGGGAUUUGUAUACGUAGUGCUUCUUUGGUGGGGGUGGGGAAUGGUAAACCGGAGGGGGAGAGUAGUGCUUCACCGGAGGAGGAGGGGAUUUGUACACGUAGUGUUUCUUUGGUGGUGGUGGAGAGUGGUAAACCGGAGGAGGGGAGUAGUGCAUAACCGGAGGAGGAGGAGAUUUGUACACGUAGUGUUUCUUUGGUGGUGGUGGAGAGUGGUAAACCGGAGGAGGGGAGUAGUGCAUAACCGGAGGAGGAGGAGAUUUGUACACGUAGUGUUUCUUUGGUGGUGGUGGAGAGUGGUAAACCGGAGGAGGGGAGUAGUGCAUAACCGGAGGAGGAGGAGAUUUGUACACGUAGUGUUUCUUUGGUGGUGGUGGAGAGUGGUAAACCGGAGGAGGAGAAUAGUGCAUCACUGGAGGAGGAGGAGAUUUGUAGACGUAAUGUUUUUUAGGUGGGGGUGGGGAAUGGUAAACAGGAGGGGGUGUGUAGUGUUUAACCGGAGGAGGAGGAGAUUUGUAUACGUAAUGUUUCUUGGGUGGUGGUGGUGAGUGGUAGACUGGUGGGGGAGAGUAGUGCUUAACCGGUGGGGGUGGAGAUUUGUAGACGUAGUCCUUCUUAGGAGGUGGUGGAGAGUGGUAAACCGGAGGAGGAGAAUAGUGUUUAACCGGAGGAGGAGGGGACUUGUACACGUAGUGUUUCUUUGGUGGUGGUGGAGAAUGGUAAACGGGAGGAGGAGAGUAGUGCUUAACCGGGGGUGGAGGGGAUUUGUACACGUAGUGCUUCUUUGGGGGUGGUGGAGAGUGGUAAACCGGUGGUGGAGAGUAGUGUUUAACUGGAGGAGGUGGAGAUUUAUAUUCGUAGUGUUUCUUAGGUGGUGGUGGAGAAUGAUAAACCGGAGGGGGAGGGUAGUGCUUAACCGGAGGAGGUGGUGAUUUGUAUUCGUAGUGCUUAACAGGUGGUGGAGGAGAAGAAUAGAAGUAGUUAGCGGUUGAUUGAGAUACAAAGGUGAGAGAGACUGUUAAAACAAGCAAAGUUGCUGCUAAGGAGGCCAUUGGAGACCCCAUUGAUUGUUUUGUUG
RNAcentral lists this long non-coding RNA (1225 nucleotides) under Brassica napus (rape). RNAcentral's name for it is "long non-coding RNA (BNAP_LNC026462)". Lineage: Eukaryota; Viridiplantae; Streptophyta; Magnoliopsida; Brassicales; Brassicaceae. The record is from RNAcentral.